UUCCUACGGGGGGCAGCAGUGAGGAAUAUUGGUCAAUGGUCGGAAGACUGAACCAGCCAUGCCGCGUGCAGGAAGACGGCCUUAUGGGUUGUAAACUGCUUUUGUACGGGAGAAAAAAGGCAUUCGUGUAAUGCUGUUGAUAGUACCGUAAGAAUAAGGAUCGGCUAACUCCGUGCCAGCAGCCGCGGUAAUACGGAGGAUCCAAGCGUUAUCCGGAUUUAUUGGGUUUAAAGGGUGCGUAGGCGGAUUAAUAAGUCAGUGUUGAAAGGCUAAAGCUUAACUUUAGAAUUGGCAUAGAUACUGUUAGUCUUGAGUGCAGAUGAAGUGGGCGGAAUGUGUCAUGUAGCGGUGAAAUGCAUAGAUAUGACACAGAACACCGAUUGCGAAGGCAGCUCACUAAGUUGUAACUGACGCUGAGGCACGAAAGCGUGGGGAUCAAACAGGAUUAGAUACCCUGGU
Molecule: ribosomal RNA, 459 nt
Filed under: uncultured bacterium
Lineage: Bacteria
Description: bacterial SSU rRNA
Rfam family: Bacterial small subunit ribosomal RNA
Source: RNAcentral